This 496-nucleotide ribosomal RNA is filed under the name uncultured bacterium. RNAcentral's name for it is "partial 16S ribosomal RNA". It matches the Rfam family "Bacterial small subunit ribosomal RNA", at positions 29 to 507 of the family's 1533-position model. The record is from RNAcentral.
AUGAACGCUGGCGGCGUGCCUAAUACAUGCAAGUCGAGCGAACGGACGAGAAGCUUGCUUCUCUGAUGUUAGCGGCGGACGGGUGAGUAACACGUGGAUAACCUACCUAUAAGACUGGGAUAACUUCGGGAAACCGGAGCUAAUACCGGAUGAUAUUUUGAACCGCAUGGUUCAAAAGUGAAAGACGGUCUUGCUGUCACUUAUAGAUGGAUCCGCGCUGCAUUAGCUAGUUGGUAAGGUAACGGCUUACCAAGGCAACGAUGCAUAGCCGACCUGAGAGGGUGAUCGGCCACACUGGAACUGAGACACGGUCCAGACUCCUACGGGAGGCAGCAGUAGGGAAUCUUCCGCAAUGGGCGAAAGCCUGACGGAGCAACGCCGCGUGAGUGAUGAAGGUCUUCGGAUCGUAAAACUCUGUUAUUAGGGAAGAACAUAUGUGUAAGUAACUGUGCACAUCUUGACGGUACCUAAUCAGAAAGCCCCGGCUAACUACGUG